RNAcentral lists this ribosomal RNA (423 nucleotides) under Triticum aestivum (bread wheat). RNAcentral's name for it is "partial small subunit ribosomal RNA". The record is from RNAcentral. Lineage: Eukaryota; Viridiplantae; Streptophyta; Magnoliopsida; Poales; Poaceae.
AUGCAGCCCUACAUACUGAAUGCCUUUGGGGCCAAGUCACAUAUUAAACUUCAAAGUAAGUUUUGCGGGCUGUUCAAAGUUCUGCAUAAAGUGGGAAAUGUAGCUUACCACUUGCUACUUCUAGCGGGGACAAAAAUACACCCAGUCUUUCAUGUCAGUGAGCUUAAACGACACAUUGGUCCUACUGUUGUUCCUUGUGAAAAUCUUCCUUUGGUCACGGAGGACGGACACAUCAAGCAAGAACCUGUGAUGGUGUUACAAAUGCGUCUUAUUCCCAGGAACAACCUCCCCAUGAUCCAGUGGCUUGUACAGUGGGAAAAUUUUCCUCCCGAAGAUUCCUCUUGGGAAGAUGCAGAUUUCAUUAAGCAUACAUUCCCUCGCUUCUUCAAGCAAACGGUGGAAGGCUGGCGUCAAGGUACUUGA